RNAcentral lists this transfer RNA (72 nucleotides) under Alistipes sp. RNAcentral describes it as "tRNA-Arg". It matches the Rfam family "tRNA". Rfam says of the family: Transfer RNA (tRNA) molecules are approximately 80 nucleotides in length. Lineage: Bacteria; Pseudomonadati; Bacteroidota; Bacteroidia; Bacteroidales; Rikenellaceae. The record is from RNAcentral.
GGCUCUGUAGUUCAACGGAUAGAACACAGGUUUCCUAAACCUGCGAUAUGGGUUCGAUUCCCAUCGGGGCUA